RNA transcript from Eucalyptus grandis, 1306 nucleotides. RefSeq lists it as uncharacterized. The record is from RefSeq and is a predicted model, not a curated record. Lineage: Eukaryota; Viridiplantae; Streptophyta; Magnoliopsida; Myrtales; Myrtaceae. The transcript is spliced from 6 exons.
GGUCGACUAAGUGAAUGCAAUGCUUCAGCAUCAUCUGGCUUGUGAUCCUGGUGGGAACGAAAGUAGAUAAGAAUGCUUUCAAAGUACAUUGCGUGUCAUUAUCCGUCAUCAGACACAAAGAAAGACUCUUCAUCCUUGACAUGACAUGAAUAUGUUCUUAUGCAAACAGAGAGUAUUACCUUUUUCCAAGUUCUAUUAAGAUCGUUUCCUUGAACAGGGGAUGUUUAUUAUGUGUUUGUUUUUUCAAUUCAUUCAUGCUUAAUAAAAAAGAACUUCAUUACUUGUUAGCAAAAGAUCCAACCAAAAGCUUAAAGCACUAGUUAGAGGUAGAUUCAAUGUAUAUAACCCCUGUUGAAACCCUUUAUCUAACCAAUGUGGAAUGACACUUCUAAUAAUGGAUUGAUUUUGGCAACUACUCAUGUCUAUGUGGUUUUGAUUGCAUGUCUAGUAGCUUAUGUCCACUUAUUCUGUCAUGGAUUAAUAAGCUACUGGAGGCACCAUCAUAAAAUUUUUACUUUUCUCAAGUCCAGGACGCCAAUGUUGAGAUGACAAAUUUCCAUGGAUCUAUAUGCAACUUUGUUUGUCAAAUGAGAUGCUAAUACAUAGAUUGCUCAAUCCGAUGAUGGAUGCGUGGCCUUGAUCCUGUCGAAAGAAACAUACUGUAUGGUGGAAAAUCUGGAGCUUCACUGUAAUUUUGGCAAUAAUGUGAUAUCCGAACCAAAUAUCUGGGAUAUGGAUGCAACGAGGACAUUCUUUAAGCCGAUUGCAUUGCGUUGUGCUCUAUGAACGGGAGCUGUCCAUCAUAGUAAUGAAAACAGAUGCCAUUGUUGCAGAAUAGAAUUGGAAGUUCAACCUACCAAAUACAAGAGGACUGUGGAAAUGACCAACUACGAUCCUGGCGAGUGUGUUCACCUUCUUAACUCCAAACCCUGCAGUCUAUCCCUGCAGUUUAUUCAAUAGGGGAGAUAUCUUGUGGCUCUUGAUAUAUAAUCGCUUGUUCAUAGUCAGCGAAGCAUGGCAAAGUUGCAAUUCUGGAUGGUCAAAUCCAACUGACGGAGAAGGAUGAGUUUGUUUACCAAGAGAUGCUCACGCAUCUUCCCCUCUGCUCAAUCCCAAACCUGAAGAAGUGCUGCUUGUUGGUGGCAGAGAUGGAGGCAUUCUGAGGGAAAUAUGUCUGUCACUCGUCCGUGGAACAAAUCGAUGUGUGUGAACUCGACCAAAUGGUGAUUGAUGUUUACAAGCAAUUCUUCCCUGAAAUAGCAGUUGCGUACGAGGAUCCGCGAGUGAACGUCUACAUUAAAGAUGG